UACGGAGGGUGCGAGCGUUAUUCGGAAUUACUGGGCGUAAAGCGCACGUAGGCGGUUUAGUAAGUCUGGUGUGAAAUCCCUCGACUUAAUCGAGGAAGUGCAUUGGAUACUGCUAGACUUGAGUAUCGGAGGGGAGAACGGAAUUCCAGGUGUAGAGGUGAAAUUCGUAGAUAUCUGGAGGAACAACGGUGGCGAAGGCGGUUCUCUGGACGAUUACUGACGCUGAGGUGCGAAAGUGUGGGGAGCAAACAGG
Molecule: ribosomal RNA, 253 nt
Filed under: uncultured prokaryote
Description: partial 16S ribosomal RNA
Rfam family: Bacterial small subunit ribosomal RNA
Source: RNAcentral